GCUGGGUGUGGUGGCGGGCACCUGUAAUCCCAGCUACUUGGGAGGCUGAGGCAGGAGAAUCACUUGAACCUGGGAGGCGGAGGUUGCAGUGAGCUGAGAUCAUGCCACUGCACUCUAGCCUGGGUAACAGAGCAAGACUCUGUCUCAA
This 148-nucleotide small RNA is filed under the name Pongo abelii (Sumatran orangutan). RNAcentral's name for it is "Metazoan signal recognition particle RNA (ENSPPYG00000037117.1)". Lineage: Eukaryota; Metazoa; Chordata; Mammalia; Primates; Hominidae. The record is from Rfam by way of RNAcentral.